UACGGGAGGCAGCAGUGGGGAAUAUUGCACAAUGGGCGUAAGCCUGAUGCAGCCAUGCCGCGUGUAUGAAGAAGGCCUUCGGGUUGUAAAGUACUUUCAGUCGUGAGGAAGGUGUUAAGGUUAAUAACCUUAGCAAUUGACGUUAGCGACAGAAGAAGCACCGGCUAACUCCGUGCCAGCAGCCGCGGUAAUACGGAGGGUGCGAGCGUUAAUCGGAAUUACUGGGCGUAAAGGGCACGCAGGCGGUUAAUUAAGUUGGAUGUGAAAUCCCCGGGCUUAACCUGGGAAUGGCAUUCAAGACUGGUUAGCUAGAGUCUUGUAGAGGGGGGUAGAAUUCCAUGUAUAGCGGUGAAAUGCGUAGAGAUGUGGAGGAAUACCGGUGGCGAAGGCGGCCCCUGGACAAAGACUGACGCUCAUGUGCGAAAGCGUGGGGAGCAAACAGGGAUUAGAUACC
Molecule: ribosomal RNA, 454 nt
Filed under: uncultured bacterium
Lineage: Bacteria
Description: bacterial SSU rRNA
Rfam family: Bacterial small subunit ribosomal RNA
Source: RNAcentral